RNAcentral lists this ribosomal RNA (301 nucleotides) under uncultured bacterium. RNAcentral's name for it is "partial 16S ribosomal RNA". It matches the Rfam family "Bacterial small subunit ribosomal RNA", at positions 509 to 808 of the family's 1533-position model. The record is from RNAcentral.
CAGUAGCCGCGGGUAAUACGUAGGUGGCAAGCGUUGUCCGGAAUUAUUGGGCGUAAAGCGCACGCAGGUGGUUUAAUAAGUCUGAUGUGAAAGCCCACGGCUCAACCGUGGAGGGUCAUUGGAAACUGUUAAACUUGAGUGCAGGAGAGAAAAGUGGAAUUCCUAGUGUAGCGGUGAAAUGCGUAGAGAUUAGGAGGAACACCAAUGGCGAAGGCGGCUUCUUGGCCUGUAACUGACACUGAGGCGCGAAAGCGUGGGGAGCAAACAGGAUUAGAUACCCCCGUAGUCCCUGUCUCUUAUA